Molecule: ribosomal RNA, 1115 nt
Filed under: uncultured Bacteroidota bacterium
Lineage: Bacteria; Pseudomonadati; Bacteroidota
Description: bacterial SSU rRNA
Rfam family: Bacterial small subunit ribosomal RNA
Source: RNAcentral
GAGUUUGAUCCUGGCUCAGGAUGAACGCUAGCGGCAGGCCUAACACAUGCAAGUCGAGGGGUAACAUAGAGUGCUUGCACUCUGAUGACGACCGGCGCACGGGUGAGUAACGCGUAUACAAUCUGCCUCAUACUAGGGGAUAGCCCAGAGAAAUUUGGAUUAAUGCCCUAUAGUAUCUUUUAGAGUCAUCUCUUUAAGAUUAAAGGUUACGGUAUGAGAUGAGUAUGCGUUCUAUUAGUUAGUAGGUGAGGUAACGGCUCACCUAGACCACGAUAGAUAGGGGCCCUGAGAGGGGGAUCCCCCACACUGGUACUGAGACACGGACCAGACUCCUACGGGAGGCAGCAGUGAGGAAUAUUAGACAAUGGGCGAAAGCUGAUCUAGCCAUGCCGCGUGCAGGAUGACGGCCCUAUGGGUUGUAAACUGCUUUUAUACAGGAAGAAAAAACUCUACGUGUAGAGUCUUGACGGUACUGUAAGAAUAAGGAUCGGCUAACUCCGUGCAGCAGCCGCGGUAAUACGGAGGAUCCAAGCGUUAUCCGGAAUUAUUGGGUUUAAAGGGUCCGUAGUGGACAAUUAAGUCAGAGGUGAAAUCCUGCAGCUCAACUGUAGAAUUGCCUUUGAAACUGGUUGUCUUGAGUCAUUAUGAAGUGGUUAGAAUGUGUAGUGUAGCGGUGAAAUGCAUAGAUAUUACACAGAAUACCAAUUGCGAAGGCAGAUCACUAAUAAUGUACUGACACUGAUGGACGAAAGCGUGGGUAGCGAACAGGAUUAGAUACCCUGGUAGUCCACGCCGUAAACGAUGGUCACUAGCUGUUCGGACUUCGGUCUGAGUGGCUAAGCGAAAGUGAUAAGUGACCCACCUGGGGAGUACGUUCGCAAGAAUGGAACUCAAAGGAAUUGACGGGGGCCCGCACAAGCGGUGGAGCAUGUGGUUUAAUUCGAUGAUACGCGAGGGAACCUUACCAGGGCUUAAAUGUAGAGUGACAGGUCUAGAGAUAAGAUUUUUCUUCGGACACUUUACAAGGUGCUGCAUGGUUGUCGUCAGCUCGUGCCGUGAAGUGUCAGGUUAAGUCYAUUACGAGCGCCACCCUGUUGUUAGUUGCCAGCGAGUUA